AACUUAUCACACAAAUGCUGCCAGCAUGUUAAGAAGUGCUGCCGUUACUGUCUCCUGCCCUUAAAGCCGCCCUUCAACCCAGCCUCCACUGUCACACAGGUGUCUUGCAGUCUCACUGGCCAAGUACCUGCCCCAUGAAACCACCCCAUCUCAGUAGAGCAAUGUGCUCUGGGCCCUGGAGCUGAUG
RNAcentral lists this long non-coding RNA (187 nucleotides) under Crocodylus porosus (Australian saltwater crocodile). RNAcentral's name for it is "lncRNA (ENSCPRG00005007376.1)". Lineage: Eukaryota; Metazoa; Chordata; Crocodylia; Crocodylidae. The record is from RNAcentral.